CUGGUUGAUCCUGCCAGCAGUCAUAUGCUUGUCUCAAAGAUUAAGCCAUGCAUGCGUCAGCAUAAUGUCUGAGGAAAUGAAUCUGCGAUUGGCUCAUUAAAACAGUGGUAAAUUACUUGGAGAUCCUUUCUACACGGAUAGUCGUAGCAAUUCUAGAACUAAUACGUGUGCCAAUGCCGAACUUCGUGGAUAGGUUUUUCUUAUUAGUUGCAGAAUCGAUACAGGCUCUACCUGGUUUACUUGUGGUUCGUAAUAAGUGGGUGAUUGCAUGGCUAAGGCUGGUAAUGACUCAUUCAAGCCUCUGACCUAUCAGCUUGUGAUGGUAGGGUCUUGGCCUACCCUGGCAUUGACGGGUAACGGAUAAUUAGGGUUUGAUUCCGGAGAGGUAGCCUGCAAAAUGGCUACCACAUCUAAGGAGGGCAGCAGGCACGCAAAUUACCCAAUCCUGACACAGAGAGGUAGUGACAAGAAUUAACAAUAUAUGGCAUCCAUGUCUUGUACUUGGAAUGAAUGGAAUCUACAUGCCUUUAUGAGCAUCAAUUGGAGGGCAAGUCU
RNAcentral lists this ribosomal RNA (555 nucleotides) under uncultured eukaryote. Its description in RNAcentral is "SSU rRNA". It matches the Rfam family "Eukaryotic small subunit ribosomal RNA", at positions 4 to 562 of the family's 1831-position model. The record is from RNAcentral.